Molecule: long non-coding RNA, 551 nt
Organism: Fukomys damarensis (Damara mole-rat)
Lineage: Eukaryota; Metazoa; Chordata; Mammalia; Rodentia; Bathyergidae
Source: Ensembl
UGUUUACAUGUGCUGUCUCAGACAGGUCCAUACUAUGUCCAAAACUUUUCUUCCUUUAACUGUGUGAAGCCAAGACCAAAUGGACCAUAUUGCUCUAUGCAAAAAAUCAAGAAAAAAUUGAUACUUCUGUAUGGAGUAAGGUAGAAUGUUCAAGAUGAAGAAGGCUUUGGAAAAAUAUGGGUCUGGGUAUUGUGUCACAGCUAUGAGAAAGCGGUUAAGACAGAUGGACACGCUGUUCAGAUGAAUACAGCAGCAAGUGAGAGACAAAAAAGAAAAGUGAAAACCGACCCAAAAGAUCCGCUGAAGGAUGAUUAUUCAAAGAUCAUAGACUUCCCACAAGAGGCAUCUACAGAGCCAUGGACUUGCGAUCCUGUUGUGCUUUAUCAUUCCUACAGUUUGAACAAGACACUGAAUGCUGGCAAUCUUUAGCUGUAACAGAGUGGCGGGGUCCUUAUCUCUAUCUCACUGGAUUAUUGUAAGGCGUUACUGUCCAUCUGAAAGUGAAGGACUAAAGGGUUGGACACAGGUCUAAGGAAUGUGAUUGGAAGGGA